RNAcentral lists this unclassified non-coding RNA (205 nucleotides) under Hevea brasiliensis (rubber tree). The record is from RNAcentral. Lineage: Eukaryota; Viridiplantae; Streptophyta; Magnoliopsida; Malpighiales; Euphorbiaceae.
AGGCAGUUCAGAGACACCAGGAGAUUGACGUGGAUGAUGUUGAUGAAGAAGAUGGGGAGAUGUUGCCGCCGCAUGAGAUUGUCGCAAGAAGUCUGGCUCAGUCGCCGAUGUUGUCUUGCUCGGUGCUCGAGGGUGCAGGAAGGACGUUAAAGGGGAGGGAUCUUCGACAAGUUCGCAACGCGGUUUGGAGACGAACAGGUUUUCU